GAUGAACGCUGGCGGCGUGCCUAAUACAUGCAAGUCGAGCGAACGGACGAGAAGCUUGCUUCUCUGAUGUUAGCGGCGGACGGGUGAGUAACACGUGGAUAACCUACCUAUAAGACUGGGAUAACUUCGGGAAACCGGAGCUAAUACCGGAUAAUAUUUUGAACCGCAUGGUUCAAAAGUGAAAGACGGUCUUGCUGUCACUUAUAGAUGGAUCCGCGCUGCAUUAGCUAGUUGGUAAGGUAACGGCUUACCAAGACAACGAUGCAUAGCCGACCUGAGAGGGUGAUCGGCCACACUGGAACUGAGACACGGUCCAGACUCCUACGGGAGGCAGCAGUAGGGAAUCUUCCGCAAAGGGCGAAAGCCUGACGGAGCAACGCCGCGUGAGUGAUGAAGGUCUUCGGAUCGUAAAACUCUGUUAUUAGGGAAGAACAUAUGUGUAAGUAACUGUGCACAUCUUGACGGUACCUAAUCAGAAAGCCACGGCUAACUACGUG
RNAcentral lists this ribosomal RNA (497 nucleotides) under uncultured bacterium. Its description in RNAcentral is "partial 16S ribosomal RNA". It matches the Rfam family "Bacterial small subunit ribosomal RNA", at positions 28 to 507 of the family's 1533-position model. The record is from RNAcentral.